CCGAUUUUUUUGGUCUGAGUUCUCUCUGGUGAUUGAUCUUACAAUGAAAAGAUGGUUGAUGUCUUCUUCCCUCUCUUGCAAUGUCUAUCAAGGUUGGUGAUGCGUUUGCGACAUAUUGGAAUGCUCCAAUAGAUCUGGUUUGGCAAGCAAUAUUCGUUACAACUGUAUUUAUUUACUAGGUAUAAGAGAAGCAUAUCCUAUGCUCGGUCAUCAUCCUCGCGUUAAUCUCAUCUCUCUCUCUCUCUCUCUCUCUCAGCUCAUUGUUGUUGUUCUUCUUACUGCAACUCAUUCACGACAUGAUGCAACUGGAGCAUUGUCACAGCCAUUGGACGAGCAGGGAGGCACAACUAUCGUUGCUAAAAUUAGUGGUUAUUCCAGCAUGACUUGGUUACUUGCCUAUAAAAUACGACAAGAUUGAAGCAAAGCUUGUACAUGAUCAGCUUUGUCCAAUAGCUGAACGGUAUCUGUUCUCUUCUCUUUGCAUCACAGCAACAUUCAUGUUCUUUUUACAGUUUAUAAAAUUUGUGUUUAUGUGCAGAUCGGACACACAAUUUCUUUGACCUCAUAGUUAGUAUUUUCCCAAAAUAGUUUCUAUAUUUGGCAAGUGUGGUGUAGUUCUUCGACAUGGACAAACUUGACACUAUCAAAGCCUAGGACAACUACAGAAAAAUAGGAAAUUGUUCUGUGAGAAUCAAUCAGCCUGCAUGGAGAAUUCUCGCUACAAACUUUGGCAAGGACAAGAGAGGUGGAUGUGUUCACUAGGAGGCUUUUAGAUAUUCCAUCAAAGAUGAUGCAACUAAAUAAGAAAGAAGUACUGUACAUCUUACUUUAGGUUCCAUUCACAGGUAAAAUUAUAUAAGUUUAUCAUAUGUUGUGAAAACAUUGGCGAGUUAAGACUAGAAAUCUUCCCUGCCUAGGUGUGCCCUUAAUGAAUUGAUCCGUUGUCGGCUAUAGCGAGAUCUGGGUCCUUGGUUUUUCCAAGGAAAACCUGAUUGAGCAUGUAACAUGAACAUGAACGGCAGUUCCGUAGGACACCCACACUCGAUGAAAUGGAUACCCCUUGCUCAUCUCAUUCAAGUUAUGAGCACACAGUAGGAUUUAUGCAUUUCACAUACUGUCAGCUGUUCUGUACUAAUUGAUUUGUCUUAAAUUUCCUGUUCCCAGGACAACUUUCAGAAUUAGCUGAUCCAUUUCGAGCUCCUGUGAUCGAACCAAAACAUUUGUCGUCGCAGGAGUAUUCCGGGUGAACUUCAAGAGUGCUGUGUUCAUCAUCCAAAAUGCAUUCCAGUGGGUCCUCAUAAUUACCGGGGUGAUUGGUUCAUUCAUCUUCUACUUCUUCGUUUGAUUCUUCAAGUACAAGAGGCUGAUGCCCCUGUAGAGUAUAAGCUCUUCAUAUAGCAGUCUCAACCUUCUAUUCCCUCUGUUAAGACUUGCUACCCUUGGAAUGCUGCGGAAACAAGCACAUAAGGAUUGCUACUGUGUUCUCUAUACAAUCAAUACUGAUUGCUGAUUUCUUUCUUGAUGAGAUGAGAAACCCACUUGGUUCAUCAAAACUGAUUUUGAUGUUUCCAAGUUGUAUGUACCAAAGAAGACUGGAAGCCAUUGAUCCUUCUGGACACUAUCCGGACCCUUGGUUCUCUUGUCAACUGAAUGUAGUAGUGUUUCCAGGGUCCUGACAGAUUAUUGCUUCCCUUCUCUGUUACCAUAGUAGUGUUCAUUAAAUAGAUAUAUUUCUACUCAUGGAAGAUCUGAGUAAACUAUGUGUUCUGUUCAUAUAUUUAGUUUACUAGUGCAGAUUGUUGGUU
Long non-coding RNA from Lolium perenne, 1805 nucleotides. RefSeq lists it as uncharacterized. NCBI's taxonomy places the organism in Eukaryota, Viridiplantae, Streptophyta, Magnoliopsida, Poales, Poaceae. The record is from RefSeq and is a predicted model, not a curated record.